UACGUAGGUGGCAAGCGUUGUCCGGAUUUACUGGGUGUAAAGGGAGCGUAGGCGGGUAACUAAGUCAGGUGUGAAAAUUAAGGGCUCAACCCUUAACGUGCACUUGAAACUGGAAAUCUUGAGUGAAGUAGAGGCAGGCGGAAUUCCGAGUGUAGCGGUGAAAUGCGUAGAUAUUCGGAGGAACACCAGUGGCGAAGGCGGCCUGCUGGGCUUUUACUGACGCUGAAGCUCGAAAGUGUGGGGAGCAAACAGGAUUAGAUACCCUGGUAGUCCACACUGUAAACGAUGAUUGCUAGGUGUGGGGGGUCUGACCCCCUCCGUGCCGGAGUUAACACAAUAAGCAAUCCACCUGGGGAGUACGGCCGCAAGGUUGAA
RNAcentral lists this ribosomal RNA (375 nucleotides) under uncultured bacterium. RNAcentral describes it as "bacterial SSU rRNA". It matches the Rfam family "Bacterial small subunit ribosomal RNA", at positions 524 to 898 of the family's 1533-position model. The record is from RNAcentral.